GUUUUCAAGUUCGAUCUUCUCUUCUUCUUCGAUUAGGGUUUUCGAGUUGGGUUUCGAUCUCUAUUUUUGCUUGGAUUUUCGAUUUGGGGCAUUGGGGUUUUGGUUUGGGCUUAAAAUCCGAAAGCCAACAACAUGUUUUUGUGUCAAUUCGUCUCGUUCUUCGAACUCGGUGACUCGCUCUCGAACUCGCGAGUUUGGUACGAGUCGACGAGUUUACUCCGAGUUCAUUACGAGUUUGAAAAAAAACGAGUUUAUAUGCGAGUUAACCCGUGAACACUGUCAUGACUCGCAGACUCGUACGGGUGUACGAGUCAACCCGCGAGUUUGAUAACCAUGGUUGCAGCCAUUAAUUUAAAAACCAAAAUAUCAGAGGAGAGGGUGGACUAAAUGGAUUGAACUCAGUUGCUAAAACAUAUUUAAACAAAAUCUCUUUUCUGGUGCAGUUCACUCCUUUUAGUCCUACUAUGUGAAAGAAAAGAGUGGCAUGCUAAAUGAAAGUGCUCCUUGUAAAUUAUAAGAACUACACACUGAAGUUUUGAGAGUAGCAGAGUGUGACUCUUGCAGCAUAAAAUGAAAGCAGAGACAUGCAAGGAUUACAUAAUAAUCGUAAACUUUGUGGCCAAAUUAUGCGUGCAAUGGGUUAGGUGGCAUGAUGUUUGUUGCUAUAUUUAAGCAUGAAGGGAAUAUAGUUGUAAAGAACACUCUUAAUUGCAAAUAUGUACUAUCUCUAAUAGAAAUUUAAUAGUUGUGAUCAAUCAUUUUUCUUUUUUUCCUUGAUUAUUGUUUUCUGAUCAUAGGUUGUACUAUAUGAAAUCCAUUAGUUAUGUCUGUUACUAAAGGCUUACUUGGAUAAAGACUAUCAAAAGUCUUCUCUCUCAGGAGUAGAGCUUCUCUAGAUUUUUUUCAUCUGCUUUAUUUUGUAUAUUUAAAUAUAUUUUACUUAAUUAUUUCUUCUUUUGGAUUGUAUUUAGUGAAUAUUCUUCCUCUGUGUGCUCUCAUUUCCUUUUUAUUAGCAGAAAUGAAGAGAAAACACACUGAUCUCAUGUACUGGGUGGGAGUCAUAACAUUUCCUUUGGUUGUCAAAUAGGAAACAAAAUGGAAAAGAGAAGAAUAUUUUGUUUAUAAAGUCAAUUUUUAUUUUUCAUCAAAUAAAGAGGAAUCAUUAUUUGUGUUGUUUUUCCUGUUUCUUUUUUUCUUUUCCAAAUAGACCAAUAGAUUUUUAUGACUAACUUCUGAGUUGCUCUCCAUAAGAUAUGUUUUAGCCUUUUGUGUUCAUCUCUAAAGGUGUGAUUCUCGAGAUUAUCAGACAAUUAUAUGUAGUGACUGUUUUCAAAUUUCAAAUAGAAUGUCAAUACAAAAAAUAAUUCCAUAGAAACUUCUAAUUUUAAUCGAACUUAGGAAGCAACAUUAUUUAGUUGCGCAUUAUUAAAGCACCAUUUCUUCAAUUGGCUUACCAGUACUGCUUUUUUUUUUCUUGUGAACAAAACAAGAACUGUUAGAAUAUCAGUAUCAAACUUAAAUGAGUUAAGGACCAAAGGCCCAAAGAAGAUAAUGGACUCAAUGUACAUCAUGGAGAUCACUUUCAAAUUCACGUGAUUUCUGUAGUCUCUUUCAAACUUGAAAUGAAAUUUCUUAAACGAGGCAUGGAAUAAAUUAGUCAUUCAGAGUCACAGAAUUCCCUCCUAGAUUAAUAGGUGCAGUGGCAGAAACAUUUUAGGAGUAGUAGCUUUGAAAUUAAUUAAUUACGAAAAUUCACCAAAAGGAGACACACUAACAAGAAAAUUGUGAUACUACUUUAUUGUAUAUGUCAAAAUGUAUGAGUUGGUGUGUAGAGUGUGUUCCCUUCAUGAACGUACCACCCAAAUAUGAGUUGGUUAUAAUAAGCACAUGGAUUUUAAUUUUUUUUUAUAAUUGAAUAAAUCAGUUUGAACUAUUUUCACGUAAGAUAUAAGCUAUUUUUAUAUCUUAGAAAGAUUCCCUUUACUUUCCUUUCACCGCACACCAUAAACCUUUUUCUUUUUAAUUUGCUUCUUGCCAGGCCAGUGUGAUAAAAUCUUUAGAACUGAUAAUUGAAAUGCAUUGCCCUAAACAAAAAGUGUGGCCAUUGCACUAGGUUUCUUUUUUGGUGUUAAAGUAGUGGCAGGUUUUCCUAUCUAAGUCUUUUCUUCCGAUCAAUGACUCAUAAUUGUUGAAAUAACGUUGAUGAUGAGAGGAAAGUGGAGUUGAUGAUGAAUGUUAAUAAUUGAUAAUGCAUGCAUAAAUGCAAGAGUAGAAGUAGUACUAUGAUGUGAGGGCAUGAAAGAGUGAAGAACAUAAAUUAGAAAGCGCUGAAGGAGAGAGACAGAAGAAACAAAUCUAUAAGCGAAACGAUGUGUUGGCUCUCUCAACAGCUGAACAUUAAAUUGGACAGAGUUCUGAGUCUCCUUUCUUGUUCCCACCAUUAAAUUGGACAGCCUCUUUUUGAAUUUCAACCAUCUUUUAAUUAAAACCUUCAUACCAAUCUUCACAUACGUUGCUAUAAGAAAAGAGAGACAAUACAAACAAUUGUAAGUAUUAGUGAAAGGAUAAGUUUGUAUAUAAUUACUCUAAUUAUUUUAUCUGUCAAAUUUAGUUAUUUGCUUUUGCUUUUGUACUCUACCUACUUGUUUUUAUGUUAUUUUUCUUUUCUUUCCUAUGUGUCAGACAAACGUAUCUCUGUUUUCUCCCAAUUGCUUAAGCUUAAAAGUUUCUCUACAUGAUGUGUGUUGAAGUGUCACCUCUAUUGAAUUACUUUAUGUCGACUUAUUUAGUUUCUCAGAUUGGAAGAUUGGGGAUGGGGAAAUCGAGUUGUUAUAUUUUCUGAUAGACGUAAGUAGAAGAGACAGCACAAGAAGGGAAGAUCCUUUUGGUAAGAAGCAACAUUGACUAUUAGGUUUUCAUUCUUGGGAAGACUUUUGGAUAGGUAAUAUCGAUCUUCUGUGCAUCCUUCCAAGGUACUCAGUAAUAUUCGUACACCCUCGCAUCAUACCCUUUGAUCCUAAAAUAUAGUAGCCUUCAUCCUCUUAUGGGUUUUUGAUAAAGCAAUCGUUUUUGUCUCUGAAUUUGGAAAACAGCUAGUUCCCAUGGAAGGGUUGGUGAGUUCUGGGAUCAACACCAUUCGUGUUUUUGGUGUUACAAAGCACCAAUCUCGUUUUCUUCAUUCAUCAAUGCUGCAUCUGAGGAGUAAUAGAGUGUGUGGAACUGGAAUUGGGGUUGAGGAGAAGAAAAAGAGGAAGCAGUGUUUCGUUAUGGCUGCAUCUGUUGGGGGCUCCAAAGUGGGCCAUUUUGAGAACACACUCCCUUCCAAAGAGGUUCUUGAGCUUUGGAGAAAGGGUGAUGCUGUUUGCCCUUUUUCUCUAUGUCUGUGUUCUUUGUUUGGUUUUCCUUUUUGUGAUGAUCACCAAUUUUGGUGUGAGCAGAUGUGGAAGUUCCUAAUGAUCGUGCAGGUGGUGGUGAUGUUGUUGUCUAGUUUAUGUGUUUAGUUAUUGGCUUUUUUGGGCAUCUUUUGGGCAUUAUUGUUGUGACGAUAAUUUUUGUUUCUAUUUAUUUAAUUUUUAUUAUUAUUUCCUACAA
Unclassified non-coding RNA from Vigna unguiculata (cowpea), 3591 nucleotides. The record is from RefSeq and is a predicted model, not a curated record. NCBI's taxonomy places the organism in Eukaryota, Viridiplantae, Streptophyta, Magnoliopsida, Fabales, Fabaceae.